UACGAAGGUGGCAAGCGUUGUUCGGAUUUACUGGGCGUACAGGGAGCGUAGGCGGUUGGAUAAGCCCUCCGUGAAAUCUCCAGGCUUAACCUGGAAAGUGCAGAGGGGACUGUUCAGCUAGAGGAUGGGAGAGGAGCGCGGAAUUCCCGGUGUAGCGGUGAAAUGCGCAGAGAUCGGGAGGAACACCCGUAGCGAAGGAGGCACUCUGGGCCGGUACUGACGCUGAGGAGCGAAAGCGUGGGGAGCAAACAGG
Molecule: ribosomal RNA, 253 nt
Filed under: uncultured bacterium
Lineage: Bacteria
Description: partial 16S ribosomal RNA
Rfam family: Bacterial small subunit ribosomal RNA
Source: RNAcentral